This 429-nucleotide ribosomal RNA is filed under the name Pseudomonadota bacterium. RNAcentral's name for it is "Proteobacteria bacterium partial 16S ribosomal RNA". It matches the Rfam family "Bacterial small subunit ribosomal RNA", at positions 355 to 776 of the family's 1533-position model. Lineage: Bacteria; Pseudomonadati; Pseudomonadota. The record is from RNAcentral.
UGGGGAAUAUUGGACAAUGGGCGAAAGCCUGAUCCAGCCAUGCCGCGUGUGUGAAGAAGGUCUUCGGAUUGUAAAGCACUUUAAGCUGGGAGGAAGGGCAGUAAGCGAAUACCUUGCUGUUUUGACGUUACCGACAGAAUAAGCACCGGCUAACUCUGUGCCAGCAGCCGCGGUAAUACAGAGGGUGCAAGCGUUAAUCGGAAUUAUUGGGCGUAAAGCGCGCGUAGGUGGUUCGUUAAGUUGAAUGUGAAAGCCCCGGGCUCAACCUGGGAACUGCAUCCAAAACUGGCGAGCUAGAGUAGGGCAGAGGGUGGUGGAAUUUCCUGAGUAGCGGUGAAAUGCGUAGAUAUAGGAAGGAACACCAGUGGCGAAGGCGACCACCUGGGCUCAUACUGACACUGAGGUGCGAAAGCGUGAUGAGCAAACAGG